UACGGAGGAUCCAAGCGUUAUCCGGAAUUACUGGGCGUAAAGAGUUGCGUAGGUGGCAUAGUAAGCGAAUAGUGAAAUCGUACGGCUCAACCGUAUAUCCAUUAUUUGAACUGCUAAGCUAGAGUAUGAGAGAGGCAGGUGGAAUUCCGGGUGUAGCGGUGGAAUGCGUAGAGAUCCGGAAGAACACCGGUGGCGAAGGCGGCCUGCUGGGCAGUUGCUGACACUGAGGCGCGACAGCGUGGGGAGCAAACAGG
This 254-nucleotide ribosomal RNA is filed under the name uncultured bacterium. Its description in RNAcentral is "partial 16S ribosomal RNA". It matches the Rfam family "Bacterial small subunit ribosomal RNA", at positions 524 to 776 of the family's 1533-position model. The record is from RNAcentral.